GGGGGGCGGGAGGAGGGAAGAGAGGGAGGGCAUUUCCCAACUUCCUAUUAACUUUUAGCAAGAGUAAGGAUUUCUCAGUUUCAUAUUAAUUUGAGUCCCCUGUCAAGUUUUAACAACAAACAUACAACCAAUUUUAAGAAUUUUAGAAGUAAUCCACAACUAAAAUAGAGCCUUCAAAUGCAGAUAUGCAUAAACAAAAAAUUUGAAUAAUGAUGACUGUAACU
This 224-nucleotide unclassified non-coding RNA is filed under the name Hevea brasiliensis (rubber tree). The record is from RNAcentral. Lineage: Eukaryota; Viridiplantae; Streptophyta; Magnoliopsida; Malpighiales; Euphorbiaceae.